RNAcentral lists this ribosomal RNA (1418 nucleotides) under Lactiplantibacillus plantarum. RNAcentral's name for it is "bacterial SSU rRNA". It matches the Rfam family "Bacterial small subunit ribosomal RNA". Lineage: Bacteria; Bacillati; Bacillota; Bacilli; Lactobacillales; Lactobacillaceae. The record is from RNAcentral.
GCAGUCGAACGAACUCUGGUAUUGAUUGGUGCUUACAUCAUGAUUUACAUUUGACUAAGUGGCGAACUGGUGAGUAACACGUGGGAAACCUGCCCAGAAGCGGGGGAUAACACCUGGAAACAGAUGCUAAUACCGCAUAACAACUUGGACCGCAUGGUCCGAGUUUGAAAGAUGGCUUCGGCUAUCACUUUUGGAUGGUCCCGCGGCGUAUUAGCUAGAUGGUGGGGUAACGGCUCACCAUGGCAAUGAUACGUAGCCGACCUGAGAGGGUAAUCGGCCACAUUGGGACUGAGACACGGCCCAAACUCCUACGGGAGGCAGCAGUAGGGAAUCUUCCACAAUGGACGAAAGUCUGAUGGAGCAACGCCGCGUGAGUGAAGAAGGGUUUCGGCUCGUAAAACUCUGUUGUUAAAGAAGAACAUAUCUGAGAGUAACUGUUCAGGUAUUGACGGUAUUUAACCAGAAAGCCACGGCUAACUACGUGCCAGCAGCCGCGGUAAUACGUAGGUGGCAAGCGUUGUCCGGAUUUAUUGGGCGUAAAGCGAGCGCAGGCGGUUUUUUAAGUCUGAUGUGAAAGCCUUCGGCUCAACCGAAGAAGUGCAUCGGAAACUGGGAAACUUGAGUGCAGAAGAGGACAGUGGAACUCCAUGUGUAGCGGUGAAAUGCGUAGAUAUAUGGAAGAACACCAGUGGCGAAGGCGGCUGUCUGGUCUGUAACUGACGCUGAGGCUCGAAAGUAUGGGUAGCAAACAGGAUUAGAUACCCUGGUAGUCCAUACCGUAAACGAUGAAUGCUAAGUGUUGGAGGGUUUCCGCCCUUCAGUGCUGCAGCUAACGCAUUAAGCAUUCCGCCUGGGGAGUACGGCCGCAAGGCUGAAACUCAAAGGAAUUGACGGGGGCCCGCACAAGCGGUGGAGCAUGUGGUUUAAUUCGAAGCUACGCGAAGAACCUUACCAGGUCUUGACAUACUAUGCAAAUCUAAGAGAUUAGACGUUCCCUUCGGGGACAUGGAUACAGGUGGUGCAUGGUUGUCGUCAGCUCGUGUCGUGAGAUGUUGGGUUAAGUCCCGCAACGAGCGCAACCCUUAUUAUCAGUUGCCAGCAUUAAGUUGGGCACUCUGGUGAGACUGCCGGUGACAAACCGGAGGAAGGUGGGGAUGACGUCAAAUCAUCAUGCCCCUUAUGACCUGGGCUACACACGUGCUACAAUGGAUGGUACAACGAGUUGCGAACUCGCGAGAGUAAGCUAAUCUCUUAAAGCCAUUCUCAGUUCGGAUUGUAGGCUGCAACUCGCCUACAUGAAGUCGGAAUCGCUAGUAAUCGCGGAUCAGCAUGCCGCGGUGAAUACGUUCCCGGGCCUUGUACACACCGCCCGUCACACCAUGAGAGUUUGUAACACCCAAAGUCGGUGGGUAACCUUU